This is a long non-coding RNA of Cavia porcellus (domestic guinea pig), 6060 nucleotides long. RefSeq lists it as uncharacterized. Lineage: Eukaryota; Metazoa; Chordata; Mammalia; Rodentia; Caviidae. The transcript has 2 exons. The record is from RefSeq and is a predicted model, not a curated record.
CGGGUGUCUACCUAGCGCCCAGCUCUGGCUCUGACUCUGCCUGGAGCCUGAAGCCGUGGCCAAGGUCGCCCCCCACUUCUGUGCUGGGCUCCUCAGUGCUGAUCACAAGGGGAGGCAUGCAGGGCUGGUCAGGGUGAGUGACAGAUGAGAUGCUUAUGUUUUGAACACGGUCCACUCAGGGGCCCAUGUGGCAGUGACCUCCCCUCUCUGGGUGCCCUUCUGCCCCGUGGACCCUUGAGUGGCUGCACACAGAGCUGGGGACAAAGCUUAGCUUGGGCUCUGCUUUGAGAGGCAAGCAGCAGUUUGGAGCAAUGCCGGUCCCCUGCAGUCCCUAGGUGCCUCAGUGCAGGAGGGUAGAUGGGACUCAGAGUCCAUCUGUCCUGGAGACUCUGGGUCCCAGAGGCUGCCCCUCUCAGCUGCCCAGCCCACUCGGCUGGCAUCAGCUGCACAGCCUGGCUUCCUCUGCUCUGUGGGGAGGGACAGUUCAGCCCAGCCAACGGGUGGCCUGCCUGUCCUUUGCCUGUGCUGGUCGCCAUGGACCCGGGGAAAGCAAACAGAGCCAGCAGGCGGGGCUGAGUGUCUGCUGGUGCGGGGGCGGCAUCAACAGGGCCUGUGACUGUGUGAGUAGCAGCUGCUCAGUGGGGAGGUCACCUGCAGACGCUGGUACUGCCUUGGGGGCUGCGGAUGUCCUAGUCAGUGAGUUUGGGCUGGUGGGGGAGCCAUGCUUUCCUGGAGGCCCAUCCACUGUGUGGGGCCAGCCCGGACCCAACACCAGGCUGUAUGUCUGCUGCACUGUGAGGAGGCUGAGCCUAGGGAUGCACAGGGUGCCUGGACCCUGUGUGGUCUGAAGGUGGGCCUUUGGUGGGGCACGACGCAUCUGCACCUGUGAGGCUUUCGAUGGAGUCUGCAUAGCCUCAGCCUCGCUCCUGGCCUCGGUCUGCCUGAGUAGAAUCAGUGAGUCAGUCAAGAAGCAUGAAGUCCUUGGACUGCGUCCACAUUGUGUGCUGUGGAGAAGGAGCCCUGGGCGUGCCCCUGCCCUCCAGGAAUCAGCCCGGAAGGAGACAGGACACUACGUGCAUGGACAGUGCGUGGGCCUGGGGACACUGGGUGCCUGGAGGCAUGGGCCCGCAUUGUGGUGGUGCCCUGGGUUGUACUCGGCCUUUGGUUGUCUUUGGAGAGGCCUGAGGCCUGCGGGGUGGGGCAGCGCCCUGGAUGGCAUAGAAUGAAGCGAGUGUCCAAGAAGGGGCAGGUGUGGACACUGGGCUCGCACGGGGCAGGGCAGAUAUGGGGAGGGCCCCCAUGCGGGUGGCCUCAGGGCCCUGCUCACCUCUCUGUCCACCCCUUGAGGCCUUGCCACUGCUGGUUUGAUAUUUUUUCAUGUAAAUUUAUUUUUACUUUUUAUGUAUGUGUUUAUUUUAUUUUAUUUUUUUGUCUUUUUCAUUUUUAUCGGUACCAGGGAUUGAACUCACGACUGCCUGUUUGCAAGGCAGGGGCUUAUGCUGCUAAGCUAAAUCCCCAGCCCCGUAUGUGUUUAUUUUAAAGAAGAAAAAAUAGAACAAAAUUUCAAAACAAGGUAUUAGUAGGUAACAAUGGUUAAUGCAUUGCAAAUUAUUGUCAAUUUAUUUCUAAAAACAAGUUUCAUAAAAAGAAAUCUUCAGCUGAGUGUGGUGGAGCCCACCUAUCAUCCUGGCUUCUAGGAGACUGAGUCAGGAGGCUCACUUACCAUUGAGCGGCCUAGUGAGAUUCUGUCUCAGAAUAAAAAAUAGAAAAGGUUGGGGUCACAGGUCAGUGUGGAGGCCUGUGCCCAGUAUUUCUAUUUGAAACAAGGUCUCCCUAUGUAGUCAGGCUUGCCUGACACUCUCAGAGAUCCUCCUGCCUCAGCCUCUCUAGUGCUAAGAUUACUCCCCUGCACCAUCAUGCCUGGCUCUCUCAUCUUUUGUUUUUGUGAUUCAACACCUGGGAUGUUAUGAGCGAGGUUUGUUUUGGCCCCAAGUUCUCAGGCCAGAAAGGUGUGGCAGGGUCCUCGGGAGUAAGGACAGAGGACCUAGCCCUUCACCCUGUAGCACUGGGCACCAAGUCAACCCUGUCCCACAAGAUCUGUUCACCUUCAGGUUCUGGAGGAAGACCUGAUGCAUGUGGGACGGAGCCCAGGAGCCCCACUUCUGUUUGGCUGCCCAAAGUGCCACAGCUCUGUGGCUUUGGGGGACAAACCUAGGGCAGAGGCUGUGGUCUCUAGGAUGGAGGACUCUGCUCCCCACCCCGGCAGCCUCCUGGUUGGAGUCCUGUCCCGUGAUCACAAGAUCGGAAGAGAGUGGUCACCUCGUGACCCUUGGUCAUCGCAGUCUGCCAGAGGCUGGGGUGGGGACGGGUGGGUGGAGCUGCGGCAGGAGAGGACAGGAGGGGAUGGCUGCUGAGCCAUCUGCCCUCAGGGGCUGGACACAGCAGCCCGGGAUCCUGGUUUCCUGUUUGGCCUGGCACCGGCCAAGGUCCCCUCCCCUUCUGCCUCCUCCCCAGGAUCUGCUUCCUCCUUUGAGACACAGGGCUGUAGGGGCAGGGGGCGGGAGGAGGGUCACAGCCCCAGCCCCUUGGGCCUGGAAAGCUGGGGUGCGGUCUCAGCCUGCUGCUCCUUGUUCCUUGGCUCUGCAAGGGGAGGGGAGGUCAGGUUGGGCAGAGACCUAGGGAGCAGAGCAGCAGCUGCCCUGCUCCGGGGAAGGGGAGAAGGGUAGAGAAGCCUUGGUGGGGGGGCGGUAAAUGCCAGAAACUAUGGCAAAGGGCUCAGACAGGGUGAUGGGCAGUGGUGGGCAGCAGGGGCGCACUUUGGAUGAGGUUGUGGGUUGGCCCCAGCCCAAGGAAGAGCUGUAGCUGCUGGCCUCAGGGUACAGACCUGAAUCAAAGGGCUGGGCUGCAGGAGGGAGGAGGAGGAGCCUAGAGUGGUGGGACCAACCCCUCGUUCCCCUGGUGGUGACUGGUCCUCCUCCCCAUCCCCAGCAGCCACCAGAGCCCGAGUCCAUAGGCAGCCUGAUCUCAGACUGGAAACUAACAGCCAACCCAGCCUUUGUUUCUCCAUCUCAGUUAUCUGCAGGGUUUCAUCACAUCAGGCAAAGCCGUGGGAGCCUCUUCCCCUCCUCUGUCUCCCCGAGCAGGGACCCACCCUGGUGCUUGGCGGACAGCCAGCACCUGGUCCGUCCUGGAGGACAAGGCCAGGUGGUCUUGAGACCCCCAGUCACUUCCACAUCAGCACUGCCUAACCCAGUGUCUCUCUCAGGGAACUUUGCUCACUGUUUAAGCAAAAGCCAACCCAUUCCUGUCCACCCCUAAGGGAAGACUUGGAAAAUUAGGAGUAGAGAGGAGGUGUGCAGGGCCUUGGGAGCAGAAAUUUCCAGAAUAGAAGAUGAAAGCACAAUUAAAAGCCUCUCUCCAGCCUAAGGUGCCGUUUAAAUACAAUGGGUCCCAGACCUGAAGAUCUCAACCUGCACCCGCAUGCACCUGCCAAAGAGUUUGUAUCCAGACUCAACAAAAAGAAGCCAGCCCGCAAAAAACAGGCUUAAGCUCUGGUGGGUAUCCCGAAAGAGAACUCUGGGGCAGCAGCAUGCAAGGAAACGCUCUCAGCACUGCUGAGAGAGGAGGGCAGACGAAGGCCACGAAGGCCAUGGGAGAUACUGACCCCUGUGGGGUGUGUGGAGACGGUGCUGCCCCAGCUUCCCUCCUGGUGAAUCUGCUCCCCAGAGACCAGCGCCUGUGCGAAAGAAAGGGUGUGCAAAGUCCAGGGAGUUUUCUGCCUUGACACCCACGGCCCAUGGAGGCCUGGAGAACCUUGAUGGCAAGUCCAUGCCUCCGAGGAUGAGCAAUCAGAAGAUCCCUGCCUGCUUCAUGGAUGCAGAGCUGAGUGGUUGGUAAAGCAGCUCCACCAUGGGUCCUGUCAGGUGGGGCGUGACAGGCAGGUGCUCAGGGGGCUUCUGGGGAGCUGGGGGUCCCCUGUCUGGGCUGGGUGCCCAUGGGUGCCUGCAAGUGAAAGUGGCCAAGCAACUCAUCAGGGUGAGUAUUUUGUACUCUUACUGAGUACAUAUUAGACUUCUGCCAGAUAUGUCCAUGGAAGCAAUCAUAAUUUACUGGACAAACAUGCUUUUUAUUUACUGAUUUAUUUCUGGCUCUUUUUUUUUUUUUUUUUUUUUUUGAGAUAGGGCCUCGCUCUGCAGUUCAGGCUGAAUUUGAACUCACUUGGAGCCCAGGCUGGCCUCAGAGAUCCUCCUGCCUCAGCCUCCCGAGUGCCACCUUGCCUGGCUUCUCUCACUUUAGAAAGGACAGAAGGCUACAGAGGACAGCUUGUCUCACAGUGGUGGGAGAAGGACAGGGACUUGAAUCUACCGUGUCUGUAUGGUUAGGGAUCCUGAGCGUAUUCCCUGGUGCAGCAUGCAGGUUUCCUGACUUGCUUCCCCAAGCACCAGAGGCUGAAGGCACUGCUCUCAGUGGGUCGCACCAUGGCCCUGAAAUCCCAGGAAUCAUCGGUCUCACCCUCUUGAAAUCCAGACACAGACUGAGGCUCCACCCUAUGAGCUUGAGUCACUGGAUCAGAGCCUGGGGCCCUGCCCGCCCCGUGUCCCCACAGCCAGGCGGUUAGGCCUUCCUGGAGGAGUGUGGAGGCCGGGAGUUGGUGUGAGCCCAGCUUAGCUCCUCUAGCCUGGGAGGCGCCUGGGCAGUGAGCUGAGGCCUCCGGUUCCCAGCCUGCCUGCAUGCAGUGAACACAGUGCCCACCUCACAGCAGCCUGACAUGCAUUCUUGGUGGUGGCUGUGUGUACCUGCCGGGUGCCGUUUCCUCCCGGGCCCCACAGAGGCAUAGACAGCACCUUCCUCCUCUGGGCCGACCUGUGUUGCUUUAAUAAUGUGGUUGGGGCAGAGUACUUUACAAAGGAAAGGGUUUUGUUCAGCUCACAGCUCUGGGGGUUCAGAGCACUGCGUCUCCAUGAUGGGUGGGAGGGGACCAGGUCAGGCACAGUGGGCCUGCUUUUUCCUGGCCACUGUCUAGAGUAGAGGGGACAGAACGCGUCCAAAGGUUUGGACAAAGCUCCUUCCAGGGCAGCACCACAGCCCAGUCACCUGCACAGAUGCCCAUGCCCCAACAGCCCCCAGCACUCCCUGGACUGGGCCACGCCACAUGCACUGGACGUGAGGUUCUGCUCAGUGGUUGCCUACUGAGGGCCAGGUGGAGUCUGGCACCAGAGAGGCUAGAGGUUGCAUGGGGUGGGCCAGGUCACAGGUGGGUCUGAGGCCCUGAGGGACACUGAAGUGAGAAGGGUCAAAGGUGGCCAGGCACAGGGAGAGGGCUGAGGGCUGGGAGCUGAGAUGGGUACAUGGGAGCAAGGGGUGGGCGCCAGGGGAAGGCCAGGGCCCUGGAGUCAUGAAGCUGCUGCUUGGUCCCUGGAAAAAAGGCAGAGGAGAGAGCCAAUCUGGAGAGACCGGGAUUGGAGUCCCCAUGUACGGAGCGCAGGGCUGUCCCAGCGGCCAGGAAGAAAACCGCCUCUCCGAAUGUUGUUUGGUGACUGUUGUUUGGAGCAUUGUUCUAAAAAUGGGAAAUGACAGGGCCACCGUGCCAAAGGAAGCUAACUCCUGCCUCCUUGAAGGCUGCCUCCCCAGGCGGCUUUCCCUAUGGCAGGGUUACAGCCCACAUCCCUGGUGGGAGGCAGGGCUCACGGGUCCACCAGGCAGCAUGGGUGUGGGUUCGGGCUGCCCUCAUGCACAGCCCCCUCCCCCAGUUGCUGGCCAGUGCUGUCCCCUCCCUGCUCCUCAGAGCCCUGGGCGGUGGCCCUGGGCAGCCGGCUGUCUCCUCCCUCCUCCAGAGUCAUGUGUGGCGCACGUCCUUGGGGGGCUGAAAACCCCAGCCCAGCCACCAACACACUUCUUUUGGUACAUGGCUUUCCUAAGUAUUUUGUACUGCGGAAGUGGGGUGUGCUCUGACAUUCUUAUUCUGUGGGCUAGACUGGAGACGAUUUGGGGGUCACUUGGUUAAUAGUUAACAUCUACCAAUAUGGCUGUAGUUGCAUAAUAAUCAGGCCCUGAAACUGA